CCUACGGGUGGCAGCAGUGAGGAAUAUUGGUCAAUGGACGAGAGUCUGAACCAGCCAAGUAGCGUGAAGGAUGACUGCCCUAUGGGUUGUAAACUUCUUUUAUAGGGGAAUAAAAUGUUCCAGGUGUGGGAUUUUGUAUGUACCAUAUGAAUAAGGAUCGGCUAACUCCGUGCCAGCAGCCGCGGUAAUACGGAGGAUCCGAGCGUUAGCCGGAUUUAUUGGGUUUAAAGGGAGCGUAGGUGGAUUGUUAAGUCAGUUGUUAAAGUUUGCGGCUCAACCGUAAAAUUGCAGUUGAAACUGGCAGUCUUGAGUACAGUCUAGGUGGGCGGUCUUCGUGGUGUAGCGGU
This 347-nucleotide ribosomal RNA is filed under the name uncultured bacterium. RNAcentral's name for it is "partial 16S ribosomal RNA". It matches the Rfam family "Bacterial small subunit ribosomal RNA", at positions 338 to 682 of the family's 1533-position model. The record is from RNAcentral.